CCUACGGGUGGCUGCAGUAGGGAAUCUUCCACAAUGGGCGAAAGCCUGAUGGAGCAACGCCGCGUGGGUGAAGAAGGUCUUCGGAUCGUAAAACCCUGUUGUUAGAGAAGAAAGUGCGUGAGAGUAACUGUUCACGUUUCGACGGUAUCUAACCAGAAAGCCACGGCUAACUACGUGCCAGCAACCGCGGUAAUACGUAGGUGGCAAGCGUUAUCCGGAGUUAUUGGGCGUAAAGGGAGCGCAGGCGGGAUUUUAAGUCUGAUGUAAAAGCCCUCGGCUUAACCGGAGUAGAGUAUUGGAAACUGGGGAACUAGAGUGCAGGAGAGGACAGUGGAAUUCCAUGUGUAGCGGUGAAAUGCGUAGAUAUAUGGAGGAACACCAGUGGCGAAGGCGGCUGUCUGGCCUGUAACUGACGCUGAGGCACGAAAGCGUGGGGAGCAAACAGGAUUAGAUACCCGAGUAGUC
RNAcentral lists this ribosomal RNA (465 nucleotides) under uncultured bacterium. RNAcentral describes it as "partial 16S ribosomal RNA". It matches the Rfam family "Bacterial small subunit ribosomal RNA", at positions 338 to 795 of the family's 1533-position model. The record is from RNAcentral.